This 253-nucleotide ribosomal RNA is filed under the name uncultured bacterium. RNAcentral describes it as "partial 16S ribosomal RNA". It matches the Rfam family "Bacterial small subunit ribosomal RNA", at positions 524 to 776 of the family's 1533-position model. The record is from RNAcentral.
UACGUAGGGUGCAAGCGUUAAUCGGAAUUACUGGGCGUAAAGCGUGCGCAGGCGGUUGUGCAAGACAGGUGUGAAACCCCCGGGCUUAACCUGGGAACUGCACUUGUGACUGCACAGCUGGAGUACGGCAGAGGGGGAUGGAAUUCCGCGUGUAGCAGUGAAAUGCGUAGAUAUGCGGAGGAACACCAAUGGCGAAGGCAGUCCCCUGGGCCUGUACUGACGCUCAUGCACGAAAGCGUGGGGAGCAAACAGG